GAUGAACGCUGGCGGCGUGCCUAAUACAUGCAAGUCGAGCGAACAGACGAGGAGCUUGCUCCUCUGACGUUAGCGGCGGACGGGUGAGUAACACGUGGAUAACCUACCUAUAAGACUGGGAUAACUUCGGGAAACCGGAGCUAAUACCGGAUAAUAUAUUGAACCUCAUGGUUCAAUAGUGAAAGACGGUUUUGCUGUCACUUAUAGAUGGAUCCGCGCCGCAUUAGCUAGUUGGUAAGGUAACGGCUUACCAAGGCAACGAUGCGUAGCCGACCUGAGAGGGUGAUCGCCCACACUGGAACUGAGACGCGGUCCAGACUCCUACGGGAGGCAGCAGUAGGGAAUCUGCCGCAAUGGGCGAAAGCCUGACGGAGCAACGCCGCGUGAGUGAUGAAGGUCUUCGGAUCGUAAAACUCUGUUAUUAGGGAAGAACAAAUGUGUAAGUAACUAUGCACGUCUUGACGGUACCUAAUCAGAAAGCCACGGCUAACUACGUG
This 497-nucleotide ribosomal RNA is filed under the name uncultured bacterium. RNAcentral's name for it is "partial 16S ribosomal RNA". It matches the Rfam family "Bacterial small subunit ribosomal RNA", at positions 28 to 507 of the family's 1533-position model. The record is from RNAcentral.